Molecule: transfer RNA, 72 nt
Filed under: Candidatus Campbellbacteria bacterium RIFCSPHIGHO2_12_FULL_35_10
Lineage: Bacteria; Candidatus Campbelliibacteriota
Also listed under: 1 other name
Description: tRNA-Arg
Rfam family: tRNA
About the family: Transfer RNA (tRNA) molecules are approximately 80 nucleotides in length. Their secondary structure includes four short double-helical elements and three loops (D, anti-codon, and T loops).
Source: RNAcentral
GCCCUCGUAGUUCAAUGGAUAGAACAACCCCGUCCUAAGGGGUAGAUAUAAGUUCGAUUCUUGUCGAGGGCA